GAGAUCACCUCCAUUGUAGUGUUUAUUGAGUUAUGGUCCUUGGAAAGGUGUAAGUAAUUCCAUCUUUACCAUUAUUUGCUAUCAAUUUGUGAGCUCUACCUUUCUUGGGUGAUUUGGAGCUUGUUUAAAGCUAUAUCUACUGUUGCCUAUCCUUACAUAAUCACAUGGAUGGUACCUUUCCAGAGAACUGGCAAAAAGACCAGUAAUUUCAUUCUCCACAGAUCAGCUCCUGAAGACCCUAGAAAAAAGGGUUUUUGGUGGAUGGCACAGCCCUCAACCAACCUGCUCAGCUACAGCUGAGAGACAAGAGUCCGCUGGUUUCAACAUCAAGUUGGCUAACUUUUACAGUGAUGUGACUUGCCAAUUGAAAACCAUCAAUGGCUUUGCCUAAAUUAGAAAGUAAACCAGGAAGAUGUUUCCUGUAUGUGUAGCUGGUCAAUGCAUCCAUACAGAAGAUACGUUCCAGAACAAGUGCUUGCCAUCAUUAAGAAGUUGCAUCUUGUCCUUGUUUCCCAAUUGUUUGAUGGUAUUAAUGGAAGCAAAAAGAACAUUCAAGAUACCUUCUUGGUACUUCUCUUACUACUCCAGAGUCCUAACCAAGGCCAUGAGCUCUGCUAUUGCAGAAAAUGUGAAUGCAAGGACUAUGGAAAUACUGGAUAUUGGAGAGUUUCUUUCUCUGGAAGACCUGUAGAUCAUCAGCACUCAAGCUAUAACUCGGUUUGGACCUCCUUCAUGACUGGAUUCUGCUACUCUCUCCCCAGACUAGCUACAGGCUCCUUCAACCUGGAGGGGGAUGCAGUGAGUCUGCAGUGA
This 813-nucleotide long non-coding RNA is filed under the name Phasianus colchicus (ring-necked pheasant). RNAcentral's name for it is "lncRNA (ENSPCLG00000001362.1)". The record is from RNAcentral. Lineage: Eukaryota; Metazoa; Chordata; Aves; Galliformes; Phasianidae.